CAAAAGGCUCUUUUAAGAGCCACUACAUGUGCAAAAAAGGAGCUGU
Tinamus guttatus (white-throated tinamou) is the source of this 46-nucleotide non-coding RNA. The record is from Rfam. Lineage: Eukaryota; Metazoa; Chordata; Aves; Tinamiformes; Tinamidae.